UAGCUAUGUACGGAAUGGAUAAGCGCUGAAAGCAUCUAAGCGCGAAGCCAACUUCAAGAUAAGAUUUCCCACCGCAAGGGUAAGACCCCAGAAAGACUAUCUGGUUGAUAGGUCGAAGGUGUAAGUGCAGCAAUGUAUUUAGCUUAUCGAUACUAAUAGGUCGAGGACUUGACCAA
Molecule: ribosomal RNA, 176 nt
Filed under: Clostridioides difficile
Lineage: Bacteria; Bacillati; Bacillota; Clostridia; Peptostreptococcales; Peptostreptococcaceae
Also listed under: 1 other name
Description: partial 23S ribosomal RNA
Rfam family: Bacterial large subunit ribosomal RNA
Source: RNAcentral